Molecule: unclassified non-coding RNA, 252 nt
Filed under: plant metagenome
Description: partial contains small subunit ribosomal RNA, internal transcribed spacer 1, and 5.8S ribosomal RNA
Rfam family: 5.8S ribosomal RNA (bases 205-252)
Source: RNAcentral
UUUCCGUAGGUGAACCUGCGGAAGGAUCAUUAUUGGAUUUUGAAACUUCAGGCUGCUGCUGGCUCUCCUCGGAGGGCAUGUGCACGCUUGUUGUCCAUUAUUUCUCCCACUGUGCACAAAUUGUAGACCUUUCAGUAGGCCUAUGUUGUUUUUCACAAUCUCUGAAUGUAAUAGAAUGGUUUUGAAUCUUGGGAAAUACAAUACAACUUUCAGCAACGGAUCUCUUGGCUCUCGCAUCGAUGAGAACGCAGC